Molecule: ribosomal RNA, 137 nt
Filed under: uncultured eukaryote
Lineage: Eukaryota
Description: partial 18S ribosomal RNA
Rfam family: Eukaryotic small subunit ribosomal RNA
Source: RNAcentral
UGGUGGAGUGAUUUGUCUGCUUAAUUGCGAUAACGAACGAGACCUUAACCUACUAAAUAGCCCGGCUAGCUUUUGCUGGUCGCAGGCUUCUUAGAGGGACUGUCGGCUCAAGCCGAUGGAAGUUUGAGGCAAUAACA